CCUACGGGUGGCAGCAGUAGGGAAUCUUGCGCAAUGGACGAAAGCCUGAUCCAGCAACGCCGCGUGAGUGAAGAAGGAUUUCGGUUUGUAAAACUCUGUUGUCAGAGAAGAACAAGGCGGUAACUAACUAAACGUCCCCGGAUAACUACGUGCCAGCAACCGCGGGAAUACGGCGUGCGCACGCGUUCUCCGGAUGUACGGGGCGUAAAGUGAUCGUAGGCGGCAGCUCAAGUCUGGAGUGAAGGGCCGUGGCUCAACCGGGGAGGGGCAUUGGAAACUGGGCGGCUAGAGUGCAGAAGAGGGAAGUGGAAUUCCUGGUGUAGCGGUGAAAUGCGUAGAUAUCAGGAGGAACACCAGUGGCGAAGGCGGCUCUCUGGACUGUAACUGACGCUGAGGCUCGAAAGCGUGGGGAGCAAACAGGAUUAGAUACCCGAGUAGUC
This 440-nucleotide ribosomal RNA is filed under the name uncultured bacterium. Its description in RNAcentral is "partial 16S ribosomal RNA". It matches the Rfam family "Bacterial small subunit ribosomal RNA", at positions 338 to 795 of the family's 1533-position model. The record is from RNAcentral.